This 490-nucleotide ribosomal RNA is filed under the name uncultured bacterium. Its description in RNAcentral is "partial 16S ribosomal RNA". It matches the Rfam family "Bacterial small subunit ribosomal RNA", at positions 30 to 507 of the family's 1533-position model. The record is from RNAcentral.
AUUGAACGCUGGCGGCAUGCUUUACACAUGCAAGUCGAACGGCAGCGGGGUAGUGCUUGCACUACUGCCGGCGAGUGGCGAACGGGUGAGUAAUAUAUCGGAACGUACCGAGUAAUGGGGGAUAACCAAUCGAAAGAUUUGCUAAUACCGCAUACGUCCUGAGGGAGAAAGCGGGGGAUCGCAAGACCUCGCGUUAUUCGAGCGGCCGAUAACUGAUUAGCUAGUUGGUGGGGUAAAGGCCUACCAAGGCGACGAUCAGUAGCGGGUCUGAGAGGACGAUCCGCCACACUGGGACUGAGACACGGCCCAGACUCCUACGGGAGGCAGCAGUGGGGAAUUUUGGACAAUGGGGGCAACCCUGAUCCAGCCAUGCCGCGUGUAUGAAGAAGGCCUUCGGGUUGUAAAGUACUUUUGUUAGGGAAGAAAAGGGAAGUGCUAAUACCACUUUUUGCUGACGGUACCUAAAGAAUAAGCACCGGCUAACUACGUG